GUAUCAAUUUGGUAUCCAUAAGCCCACCUUAUUCAGUCAAUCUCACAUUGCCAUCCAUCUUCACAGAUUGGGACAAAACAUUGGUUUAGUACUUAUAGUACCGAGAUUCAUUAAUGAUCCUUCCGCAGGUUCACCUACGGAAA
This 143-nucleotide unclassified non-coding RNA is filed under the name uncultured fungus. RNAcentral describes it as "sequence contains ITS1". The record is from RNAcentral. Lineage: Eukaryota; Fungi.